CGUGACAGUGGUAGGGUCGUGACAGUGGUAGGGUCGUGACAGUGGUAGGGUCGUGACAGUGGUAGGGUCGUGACAGUGGUAGGGUAUUUGUGAUCCGGGGCUAUUGAUAAAAGAACCGGGGCUUUAGCCCCGGAUGCCCAGGCCUAACGACGCUGCUGGUCAUGACAAAGGUAGGGUCGUGACAGUGGGACCAACAAACCCUAAUGGGCAUUGUGAACAAAUUGGUUGAAUCACCAAGUAUCCAGUUAUCUACAGUGAUCAAGGUAUCACAUUAUACACAUUUUGUUGUUAGUGAAUUUUUAAAUGAUUAAAAAAAUAUUUCUUGCCUUGAAUCUGCACACAAUGUAGAUCCCAUAAUGACAAAACACAUUUUGGACAAUGUAUUCAAAAAUCUUUAUCCCAGAAGCAUUCGGUGUCUGAUGAUCCUUGAAAAAAAAAACUAUGGAAAAUAAAGUUGAUUUGAUGUGAUUUGCAAAGACACAUACAGUACCUGCCUGUGUAAGUUCCAACGCUUCACAAUACAUCCGUGAAGUCCAAAGAAGUCUCAGUACACGUCUGAGAUAGAAUCGUGUUGAGGCAUAGAUUUUGGGGACAUUAUAAAAAAUAGUUAAAGCAUUGGAAAUUCCCAGAAGCACAGUGGACUCCAUCUUUUAUUUAUUUUCAAUAAAUUGGUAGGCAUUGCAAAAAAAAAAUUUUGCGGUUUGUCGUUAUGGGUUAUUGUGUGUAGAUUGAUGGCAAAAAAUACUUACAUACAUUUUAAAGUAAGUCUGUGACACAGCAAAACAUGGAGAAAGUGAAGCGGUUGGAAUACUUUCCAAAUGCACUUUGUUGGUCAGUAUACAGCAACCAGGUUUUCAACACAUCACAAAGCCAUUAUCAGCUCCAUCUGAACUAGGUCAAUGCUUCACAGUGACCUGAAUGUUCCUCCUUAAUGACUGGCUGGAAGCGGGAAGAGGUAAUGUAAUCACAGAAGGGCAUUUUGUAAUUACCCAGUGUUCUGAGUGGUUUCACAACAAAUGUUCAGUUCACUGUCCAUUGAAAUUAGAGGGCCAUACGUGAGAUUACAGACGUGUUCAAUACAAAGUUUUAUGAGGAAGUGAAAGGGAUGAUAACCCAAGGUCUUAUCUUUCAAUUACAGGUUUCUUCUGUGGUGCUGCUGUUGCGUAACUUCUCAAGAUGUCCUUUGAAGUCUCGUUCCCCAUUUUAGAAAUCUUCAUGCCGAUCAUCACGUUUGGAAUUAUCAUCCUCUGCUGCACGGCCUUCUGCAAGGCCUUUCACCGCGUCCGCGAGGAGCGAAUGGAGCGGGAGGAGAGACUCGACAGGCCCUCGGUUUUCGUUAUCCCCUUCCCAGCGGUGUCCUGUGACAACGAAGACCUCCACAGGCCUCCGCGUUACAGCACCACAGAGUCCUACAGCCCGCCUCCUGCCUACAACGAGGUGGAGAUGAAGCCAGACUUCAUCGAAGCAGAUCUUCCUCCAGCCUACUCAGAGAUCUCACACGCCCCAGAUGUCUAAUUGCGUUCUCCAUCCACUGCGCCUUGGUUUGGUUCCUCCUCAGCCCCACUGUCACCCGGGGGACCAUACUAGCUGGGAAAACUGAAGGCCAAACACACUCGAAGAGAACCUAGGCUAUGCGUGGAUCCAUGACCCUGAAGCUGUACUAACUGUUCUGCAGAGACUUAGCACUGGGGUUUGUGAAAGGUGUGUUUGGGAGGCGCCCUGUGGGAAAAGGAUGAAUCGGCUUAUGUGGCAAGCGUGGGAUUAUGGACGUCUAUGAAUGUGUGUCCUGUGAAGCAAGAUUUGUCCCUCCACCUGCUCUGUGUACAUGUGUAAAUAUUCAAAAAUCUUGAAUAAAUUGUAUUUUUGUAAGCCUUACUCAAAACUGUUAAUAUGAUGAAGUAUUAUUGUUGUGGGCCUUGAUCUGUGAUAAUAUGGUAGUUUAUUUAAAUGUUUUUUGACAUCUGGAAUGAAGUCUGUUUUCCAUUUUGAAGAUCCAAUCUGUUCUCUUCUGUGUCAGUCAUGUCUGAUGCUUCCACACAUCUUCUAUGCUCUUUAACCCCAUCGGUUUCAUAACAGCUCUACCCAGUAAGAUGAUUUAUGAAAGCCUAUUAGUAAGAUAUUGAACAGACAACUGAUUAUCUUCGCCAUGUGACUGACCGACAUAGUGUCAUUGACACGCCUCUUAAACAUUUUCUUUCAGGCUUUAUUACCGCUGCCCAAUCAUAGAUUCAUACUUCAAUAAUAUUAGGACUUUGGCUAAUGGUAGGUCAUUAAGCAAUGAUAAAACCCUUUCACUGACUGUCACUGAAAACCUUGAUGAAAUCAUAUUAGUUCAUAGCUGCCUUUAAAAUGCAUGUUUUAAUCAUCAACGCCUGCCUAAAAAUGUGUGCAGACAUGAUAAAGCCAUGUAUGAACAGUGUUUAUGACUAGACUACAGGUUGAGCAGUUGAGAUACCUCCUUGCUACCAAUCCAACACAGCUUUGGUUCAUAAAAUGUAUGUAUGAACAAUACUACCAUUUACCAAAUGUUUAAAACCAGAGUCUGUUGUGUUCCAUGGACAGUGUUAUGCUGAUGAGCUAAAGCCUUGGCCUUAACAUGGGGAACCAAAACCUCAGUCUACUGGAGGGGUUUAGUGACUGUGAUUCACCAAAAUAACUGGAAUAUGUAAACAGUUUUAUGUAGCAUCAUAGCCGAUUGUGAAUGUUUUAGGUGGUUUUAAUAGCAUGGGAGAUCAAAGUCCUGUUCCAGUCACACUGUUUGUAUUGAGCCAUGAAGUGCAGCCACGUUAUUUUUUUGCUGUCUUUAUUUGAAUCAAAGGUUGCUCAGUCAAAUCCCUGAGCCAGCAAAGGAAAAAAUCUGUGGUUCUGUGUUUGAGAAAAACAUUUAACCCUUUUUUGCUCCACUAAGAGCAUCUGAUCAAUUACUAAAAUAUAAAAGCUGAAAAUUGGUUCCUGGGGGACUGUACUUGGAGAACAAGUUAAGGUAUUGU
Molecule: long non-coding RNA, 2990 nt
Organism: Esox lucius (northern pike)
Lineage: Eukaryota; Metazoa; Chordata; Actinopteri; Esociformes; Esocidae
Source: Ensembl